This 173-nucleotide unclassified non-coding RNA is filed under the name uncultured fungus. RNAcentral's name for it is "sequence contains ITS1". Lineage: Eukaryota; Fungi. The record is from RNAcentral.
GUAAUUAUUAUGUUUUUUUCAGACGCUGAUUGCAACUGCAAAGGUUUUAAUUUUUUGUCUUCGGCGGGCGGACCCGCCGAGGAAACGUAAGUACUCAAAAGACAUGGGUAAGAGAUAGCAGGCAAAGCCCGCAACUCUAGGUAAUGAUCCUUCCGCAGGUUCACCUACGGAAA